GUCCGGGUGGCGGAAUAGGCAGACGCGCUAGCUUGAGGUGCUAGUGCCCAGUGAUGGGCAUGGGGGUUCAAGUCCCCCCUCGGACACCA
This 89-nucleotide transfer RNA is filed under the name Microtetraspora glauca. RNAcentral's name for it is "tRNA-Leu". It matches the Rfam family "tRNA". From Rfam's summary of the family: Transfer RNA (tRNA) molecules are approximately 80 nucleotides in length. RNAcentral also lists the same sequence under 32 other names. Lineage: Bacteria; Bacillati; Actinomycetota; Actinomycetes; Streptosporangiales; Streptosporangiaceae. The record is from RNAcentral.